UGGAUCCAGACUUUGAUCCUGGCUCAGGAUGAACGCUAGCUACAGGCUUAACACAUGCAAGUCGAGGGGAAACGACAUCGAAAGCUUGCUUUUGAUGGGCGUCGACCGGCGCACGGGUGAGUAACGCGUAUCCAACCUGCCCACCACUUGGGGAUAACCUUGCGAAAGUAAGACUAACACCCAAUGAUAUCUCUAGAAGACAUCUGAAAGAGAUUAAAGAUUUAUCGGUGAUGGAUGGGGAUGCGUCCGAUUAGCUUGUUGGCGGGGUAACGGCCCACCAAGGCAACGAUCAGUAGGGGUUCUGAGAGGAAGGUCCCCCACAUUGGAACUGAGACACGGUCCAAACUCCUACGGGAGGCAGCAGUGAGGAAUAUUGGUCAAUGGACGAGAGUCUGAACCAGCCAAGUAGCGUGCAGGAUGACGGCCCUAUGGGUUGUAAACUGCUUUUAUAAGGGAAUAAAGUGAGUCUCGUGAGACUUUUUGCAUGUACCUUAUGAAUAAGGACCGGCUAAUUCCGUGCCAGCAGCCGCGGUAAUACGGAAGGUCCGGGCGUUAUCCGGAUUUAUUGGGUUUAAAGGGAGCGUAGGCCGGAGAUUAAGCGUGUUGUGAAAUGUAGACGCUCAACGUCUGCACUGCAGCGCGAACUGGUUUCCUUGAGUACGCACAAAGUGGGCGGAAUUCGUGGUGUAGCGGUGAAAUGCUUAGAUAUCACGAAGAACUCCGAUUGCGAAGGCAGCUCACUGGAGCGCAACUGACGCUGAAGCUCGAAAGUGCGGGUAUCGAACAGGAUUAGAUACCCUGGUAGUCCGCACGGUAAACGAUGGAUGCCCGCUGUUGGUCUGAAUAGGUCAGCGGCCAAGCGAAAGCAUUAAGCAUCCCACCUGGGGAGUACGCCGGCAACGGUGCAACUCAAAGGAAUUGACGGA
This 926-nucleotide ribosomal RNA is filed under the name uncultured Bacteroidota bacterium. Its description in RNAcentral is "bacterial SSU rRNA". It matches the Rfam family "Bacterial small subunit ribosomal RNA", at positions 1 to 917 of the family's 1533-position model. Lineage: Bacteria; Pseudomonadati; Bacteroidota. The record is from RNAcentral.